GAUGAACGCUGGCGGCGUGCCUAAUACAUGCAAGUCGAGCGAACAGACGAGGAGCUUGCUCCUCUGACGUUAGCGGCGGACGGGUGAGUAACACGUGGAUAACCUACCUAUAAGACUGGGAUAACUUCGGGAAACCGGAGCUAAUACCGGAUAAUAUAUUGAACCGCAUGGUUCAAUAGUGAAAGACGGUUUUGCUGUCACUUAUAGAUGGAUCCGCGCCGCAUUAGCUAGUUGGUAAGGUAACGGCUUACCAAGGCGACGAUGCGUAGCCGACCUGAGAGGGUGAUCGGCCACCCUGGAACUGAGACACGGUCCCGACUCCUACGGGAGGCAGCAGUAGGGAAUCUUCCGCAAUGGGCGAAAGCCUGACGGAGCAACGCCGCGUGAGUGAUGAAGGUCUUCGGAUCGUAAAACUCUGUUAUUAGGGAAGAACAAAUGUGUAAGUAACUAUGCACGUCUUGACGGUACCUAAUCAGAAAGCCACGGCUAACUACGUG
Molecule: ribosomal RNA, 497 nt
Filed under: uncultured bacterium
Lineage: Bacteria
Description: partial 16S ribosomal RNA
Rfam family: Bacterial small subunit ribosomal RNA
Source: RNAcentral